This 223-nucleotide ribosomal RNA is filed under the name uncultured bacterium. RNAcentral describes it as "partial 16S ribosomal RNA". It matches the Rfam family "Bacterial small subunit ribosomal RNA", at positions 116 to 334 of the family's 1533-position model. The record is from RNAcentral.
CGUAGGUAACCUGCCUGGUAGCGGGGGAUAACUAUUGGAAACGAUAGCUAAUACCGCAUAAGAGUAGAUGUUGCAUGACAUUUACUUAAAAGGUGCAAUUGCAUCACUACCAGAUGGACCUGCGUUGUAUUAGCUAGUUGGUGAGGUAACGGCUCACCAAGGCAACGAUACAUAGCCGACCUGAGAGGGUGAUCGGCCACACUGGGACUGAGACACGGCCCAG